RNAcentral lists this ribosomal RNA (484 nucleotides) under uncultured bacterium. RNAcentral's name for it is "bacterial SSU rRNA". It matches the Rfam family "Bacterial small subunit ribosomal RNA", at positions 28 to 507 of the family's 1533-position model. The record is from RNAcentral.
GAUGAACGCUAGCGGCAGGCUUAACACAUGCAAGUCGAGGGGCAGCACAGGUAGCAAUACUGGGUGGCGACCGGCGCAAGGGUGCGUAACGCGUGAGCAACAUGCCCGUAUCAGGGGGAUAAUCCAUGGAAACGUGGUCUAAUACCCCAUAGUAAGUUUUUGAGGCAUCUCAAGGAUUUUAAAGCUUUGGUGGAUACGGAUUGGCUCGCGUGACAUUAGCUGGAUGGUAGGGUAACGGCUUACCAUGGCUACGAUGUCUAGGGGUUCUGAGAGGAAGGUCCCCCACACUGGAACUGAGACACGGUCCAGACUCCUACGGGAGGCAGCAGUGAGGAAUAUUGGACAAUGGAUGGAAAUCUGAUCCAGCCAUGCCGCGUGCAGGAAGACGGCCCUAUGGGUUGUAAACUGCUUUUGUAUGGGAGCAAUAAGAUCUACGUGUAGAUUGAUGAGAGUACCAUACGAAUAAGCACCGGCUAACUCCGUG